AUAUUUUUCAAACCAUAUUUCUGCUUUGGGAUUUUGACUUUCAAAGUUAUGGAACAUGUCUGGAUAUACCGCAUACUCGCCUACUGGGAUUACCUGAACAUACCAGGAAAUGAACAGAGAAAUUUGAAGAUGUUGUCAAUCAACAAUUUUGUUACCUGAAUUAGAAAAUCUCAAACCACCAGAGAAGAGUUUUAUCAGGAUGGAUUGCGCAACAUAGAGGAAACUUCAAGAUGAAAUCUACAACUGGUUUCCAAUGUAAAAUGUCUCGUUACUACCUGAGAAGUUUCAUCAUGAACGAUGGACAGGUUUCCUUGGUUGGACUUCGUACUGUCAAAAAUAAGGAAACUUCAAGAUGAAAUCUACAAUUGGUUCCCAAUGUAAAAUGUCUCGUUACCGCCUGAGAAGUUUCAUCAUGAACGAUGGACAGGUUCCUAGGUUCGACUUCGUACUGUCAAAAAUAAGGAAACUUCAAGAUGAAUUCUACAACUGGUUUCCAAUGUAAAAUGUCUCGUUACCGCCUGAGAAGUUUCAUCAUGAACGAUGGACAGGUUUCCUUGGUUGGACUUCGUACUGUCAAAAAUAAGGAACUUCAAGAUGAAAUCUACAAUUGGUUUUCAAUGUGAAAUGUCUUGGCAGUUUCAUCAUGAACGAUGGACAUGUCUCCUAUGUUGGACUUUGUACUGUCAAAAAUAAGGAUAUUUGAAGAUGUUAUCAAUCAGCAAUUUUGUUCUUGAAUUAUAAAAUCUCAAACUGCCACGAAGAAGUCUCCUGGAUUGCCCAACAUAAGAGGUAGAUGCUUUUGUUAUUUGAUUCUGGGAAAAAGUUGAUGAGACCGUUUGUCUGGUUUGUGUCAAAGCUCUUUAUGGAAAUAGCAAACCAGCAUUCGCCAUCUUGGUGCACAUACUUCUGGAGCGCUGAAUAAUAAUUUUUAUGAGACCUAUUUUGCUGAUGAUUUGUAUGGAGCUACUAUUUCUAGAAGGAUAUGAAGUUUUCUGAAAUUGCCAAUAUAUUAUAAAGAAUCUGUCAUCUCCAGUAAAGAAGACAAAUCACUCAGGAACAGACAUCAACCAAGAGUAGCUAGAUAUUUACAUGGAUCAUAUUGACGGCACCAAUAAGUAAUGAUAGUGAUACAUAUUUUUGGAAGGAUCAGAAUAUUCAAACUUGCCUUUAAAUCACACUUCAUUGGGAUGAUGGAUGUGGGGUUUAACCAGAGAUCUUUACCUACGACAUAAUUAUAGUUUGUUUUGAACCACUCCACAGAACAAAAGAAUUUAACGUAAAUUCCACCCAAUUUUUGAACUUUGUUUUUCACCUAUUGUCAAGUUGGGUUGCUGUGAGUUUCUCAAAAUCUGAUUCAUAUGAAGGUAUUGAUCUCUAGUUUUCUAUUGAGUUAGCAAAUUAAUUUUAAUUAUAUUUUCAAAUUCCUAAAAUCUGUACACUUUAAACCUUACUUGAGGUUUCGUUUGCUUUUCAGAUUCUUUAGUCAGUUUUAUUUAUUUUUAUCAAUUAUUUUAUCGUCUAUUGCUGAUUAUGGAGUCGAAAUAAACUCAAACUUCCGCAAUAAGUAAUAAAAUGUAUCAAACUUGUGGUGUUAACUGCUAAUCGCAAAUUAUGGUUGGAGAGCAAACAGACUUUUGGUUGGGUUGAAAAAAAAACAAGAUUGAAAGAAUAUUAGGAUUUUACAUAUUUAUCCUGGGGGAGAGGAAAGCUGAUAAAACGACUGAACAAUAUGUCGAACCACAGCAUCUCGUCCAGUUACCAUUCCAUGUCGGGUGUGGGAUUAGUUAAGUUAUUUUAGUUUUCGGAAGCAUGGACUUGAUGGUGGAGGAAGCCGUAACCGACCAGCGGUUAUGUGAACCACCCUACGAACCUAACCUAUUAGAAUAAGAAUUUGAAGCAUUUGUUUGGUUUCCUAAUAAACACCCAUUCCACCGACUUUGUGGAGUUCGCUCUCGUUGUAGACCAAAUAAAUCUGAAUAUUCAGCCAUAUUUCAAGCAUUUUCAUAUUGUAUCUCGAUUUGCCCCUUUCAACAAGGCUUUUAAAAGAAGCAACAUAUUCUUCAGAUUUUUAAUUGAGCCGCCACGUGCUAUUGGAAGAAUUUAUGUUUUUCUUGGAUUAGGAUGAAUCAGUCUAUGUUGAGUUAUUGUUCAACCUAUUGUGUUUUUGAUUUUAAUACAUUU
Non-coding RNA from Styela clava, 2181 nucleotides. The record is from RefSeq and is a predicted model, not a curated record. NCBI's taxonomy places the organism in Eukaryota, Metazoa, Chordata, Ascidiacea, Stolidobranchia, Styelidae.